AUUUAAUAAUUAAUAGAUAAUAUUUUUAAAGGGACUACAUGAAGGCAACCGCAAAUAAGGAGCUUAACAUAAAUCAACUUUUAAAAAUUAAAAUUCCUAACAAAAAGUUCAUUUUGGACAACAGUCUCAAAAAAUAAGCAUCUCACCUAUUCAAAUAUAUCCAAAAUAUAUUUUCUUAUGUACACUUUAUUAAGUAAACCUAACCUAGA
This is a long non-coding RNA of Maniola jurtina (meadow brown), 209 nucleotides long. RefSeq lists it as uncharacterized. The transcript is spliced from 4 exons. NCBI's taxonomy places the organism in Eukaryota, Metazoa, Arthropoda, Insecta, Lepidoptera, Nymphalidae. The record is from RefSeq and is a predicted model, not a curated record.